Long non-coding RNA from Callithrix jacchus (white-tufted-ear marmoset), 724 nucleotides. RefSeq lists it as uncharacterized. The record is from RefSeq and is a predicted model, not a curated record. NCBI's taxonomy places the organism in Eukaryota, Metazoa, Chordata, Mammalia, Primates, Cebidae.
UUUCAGGUUUCUCCACUGUGAUGACGUUCCUAGAGAUCAUCACCUUACAAUGAAUUAUACCAAAAUUACUGUAACCACAUCUGCUUCAUGCCUUAUCUCAUAUCCAAAGAACUCCCUUUCCCCUGUGGCCUCUGAGUUCUUGCAAACUAAAAAGAAGAGAGAAACCCAAGUCUUCCUCUGUUGCCUAAGCUGGUCUCAAACCCGUGGCCUCAAGCAAUCCUCCUGCCUCAGCCUCCCAAAGGUGGGUUGUGGCCACUCCUCUCCUCUCUGAAGUCAGUUGAUCUUCCAGAAACCAUUUUAGAAUUUGCAGAGCUGCAUCUGGAUCAAGCAGUUUGCUAAGAGGCAUUUACACCUUUAAAUCACAAAAGAGCUGUCUAACAUUGAAUCUAUGCCUAAUGAUGUAAGCAAUGUGGAUAUUGGAUUGUCUUUGAGUUUCAUAUUCAUGAAUUCUCUGGCAAAAUAACUCAUCGAUUGAUACUUGGGAUGAAGAAUGAGUAAAAACAAUGUAAAACUCUUCCAGAAAAUUAGAAAAUUUAAUUUAUCUUGGAAUUCUUUGUAGAAGUAAAUUCUUUUAGAUGGAACUUGGGGAAAGUUUUCCUGUAAUUUCUUGAAAUCAAAUUUGAUGGUACAUUGUAGUCUGACCAUUCUGCAUUCUUCAUUCUAAUUUUCCAGCAACUUGCAUUUUUUAAGUGUUCAGAUGUUGACUUUCUCAAUAAAAUAAUUA